GGGCUUGACAUCCCACGAACCUGAUCGAAAGGUGGGAGUGCCCGCAAGGGAGCGCGGAGACAGGUGGUGCAUGGCUGUCGUCAGCUCGUGUCGUGAGAUGUUGGGUUAAGUCCCGCAACGAGCGCAACCCUCACCCCUUGUUGCCAUCAGGUCAGGCUGGGCACUCUAGGGGAACUGCCCCGGUCAACGGGGAGGAAGGUGGGGAUGACGUCAAGUCAUCAUGCCCCUUACGUCCUGGGCUACACACGUGCUACAAUGGCCGGUACAAAGGGAUGCAAGACCGCGAGGUGGAGCUAAACCCAAAAAGCCGGUCUAAGUUCAGAUUGGAGUCUGCAACUCGACUCCAUGAAGGAGGAAUCGCUAGUAAUCGCGCAUCAGCACGGCGUGGUGAAUACGUUCCCGGGCCUCGUACACACCGCCCGUCACACCACGAAAGCCAGCUGUACUCGAAGUCGCUGAG
RNAcentral lists this ribosomal RNA (460 nucleotides) under uncultured Methylomirabilota bacterium. RNAcentral describes it as "bacterial SSU rRNA". It matches the Rfam family "Bacterial small subunit ribosomal RNA", at positions 977 to 1434 of the family's 1533-position model. The record is from RNAcentral. Lineage: Bacteria; Methylomirabilota (SeqCode).